GCUUGAUGCAGCAACGCCGCGUGAGGGAUGAAGGCCUUCGGGUUGUAAACCUCUUUCAUGGGGGAAGAGGAGGCGGGUCCCGCAGGAAUAGCUCCUGCCUAAUCCCUGGCAGCCAGCCCCGGGAUAAAA
Molecule: ribosomal RNA, 129 nt
Filed under: uncultured bacterium
Lineage: Bacteria
Description: partial 16S ribosomal RNA
Source: RNAcentral